This 616-nucleotide long non-coding RNA is filed under the name Notechis scutatus (mainland tiger snake). RNAcentral's name for it is "lncRNA (ENSNSUG00000020428.1)". Lineage: Eukaryota; Metazoa; Chordata; Lepidosauria; Squamata; Elapidae. The record is from RNAcentral.
CAGAUGCAAACAGAUCUGUUUUCCUGCACUAAUAACACAUCCUGACAUUGCAUUUUACAUGGACUCUGCCAUUUGUAAUGGCCAGUCUUAAAUUGCUGUGUCGUUGGUAGCUUAAUAUGUCUUAAAUGAAUGAACAAGCAUUUUUCCAUUAAAAUACAGAACAAGUGGAGAUGAAAAAACUCAAGGAAAAACACCAAGAGAAGAUGGCUAAGAAAAAUGCCAUAAUAAGAGAGCUGGAAGAGGAAAACAAAUUCUUAGCCAGCGAAGUUGCAAAUCUUGCAAAGGAAAACAAAUCCUUGAAGAAGAAACUUAGAGAAAGUCAAGGCACAAUGAAAGAAGAUGAGGAAUGUAAAAAACUAACAGAGGAAAUCCAGAGGUUCCACAAAGAAAUAGAUUUUGCUGGAACCUCUGAUAAACAAUAUGACUGUGUUGACUGUGUUACACAUUUUUAAAGACAUAGCCUUAUUGGACAGAAAAAAGGUUGCCUUUAUGUGUUAUAUUAUUGAUCGUCUUAGAUCAAGCCAAGUCCAAAAACAUCAGAAGCCGGCUGCACCCUGCACUCUUGACAAAUUGCCAUCAAAAUAAACAUGAACAAGCUCUACGUACUGUGUAAAAG